UCGAAAGAUUAGCUAAUACCGCAUACGCCCUGAGGGGGAAAGUAGGGGAUCUUCGGACCUUACGUUAUAAGAGCGGCCGAUAUCUGAUUAGCUAGUUGGUGGGGUAAUGGCCUACCAAGGCGACGAUCAGUAGCUGGUCUGAGAGGACGACCAGCCACACUGGAACUGAGACACGGUCCAGACUCCUACGGGAGGCAGCAGUGGGGAAUUUUGGACAAUGGGCGCAAGCCUGAUCCAGCCAUUCCGCGUGAGUGAAGAAGGCCUUCGGGUUGUAAAGCUCUUUCGCAAGGGAAGAAAACUUACAUUCUAAUAAAGUGUGAGGCUGACGGUACCUUGAUAAGAAGCACCGGCUAACUACGUGCCAGCAGCCGCGGUAAUACGUAGGGUGCGAGCGUUAAUCGGAAUUACUGGGCGUAAAGCGUGCGCAGGCGGUUUUGUAAGUCAGAUGUGAAAUCCCCGAGCUCAACUUGGGAACUGCGUUUGAAACUACAAGACUAGAAUAUGUCAGAGGGGGGUAGAAUUCCACGUGUAGCAGUGAAAUGCGUAGAGAUGUGGAGGAAUACCAAUGGCGAAGGCAGCCCCCUGGGAUAAUAUUGACGCUCAUGCACGAAAGCGUGGGGAGCAAACAGGAUUAGAUACCCUGGUAGUCCACGCCCUAAACGAUGUCUACUAGUUGUUGGUGGAGUAAAAUCCAUGAGUAACGCAGCUAACGCGUGAAGU
Molecule: ribosomal RNA, 720 nt
Filed under: uncultured beta proteobacterium
Lineage: Bacteria; Pseudomonadati; Pseudomonadota; Betaproteobacteria
Description: bacterial SSU rRNA
Rfam family: Bacterial small subunit ribosomal RNA
Source: RNAcentral